AGAGUUUGAUCAUGGCUCWKAACGAACGCUGGCGGMGUGCUUAAUACAUGCAAGUCGAACGAGAAAAUCCGGCUUCGGUUGGAUGAGUAAAGUGGCGAACGGGUGAGUAACACGUGGAUAAUCUGCCCGUACAUCCGGGAUAKUCCUUCKAAAGGAGGUCUAAUACCGGGUAACAUUCCCGGGCGGMAUCGCCUGGGAAUCAUAGGCGGGGCAACCUGUCGUGUACGGAUGAGUCCGCGCCUCAUUAKCUUGUUGGSGGGGUAACGGCCCACCAAGGCGACGAUGAKUAGCCGACCUGAGAGGGUGAUCGGCCACACUGGGACUGASAUACGGCCCAGACUCCUACGGGAGGCAGCAGUAGGGAAUAUUGCGCAAUGGACGAAAGKCUGACSCARCAACGCCGCGUGGGUGAUGAAGUUUUUCGGAAUGUAAAACCCUGUCGGUGGGGAAGAAACGCACGAGCAGUAACUGGYCCGUGCCUGACGGUACCCACAAAGGAAGYCGCGGCUAACWCCGUGCCAGCAGCCGCGGUAAUACGGGGGGGACGAGCGUUGUUCGGAUUUACUGGGCGUAAAGGGCGCGUAGGCGGACCUUCAAGUCGGAUGUGAAACCCCCGGGCUUAACUCGGGGCCUGCAUUUGAUA
This 643-nucleotide ribosomal RNA is filed under the name uncultured Bacillota bacterium. Its description in RNAcentral is "uncultured Firmicutes bacterium partial 16S ribosomal RNA". It matches the Rfam family "Bacterial small subunit ribosomal RNA", at positions 8 to 632 of the family's 1533-position model. The record is from RNAcentral. Lineage: Bacteria; Bacillati; Bacillota.